GCUGGAUUCGCUAGUAAUCGCGCAUCAGCCACGGCGCGGUGAAUACGUUCCCGGGCCUUGUACACACCGCCCGUCAAGCCAUGGAANCCGGGGGUGCCUGAAGUGCGCUGCCGCAAGGAGCGCCCUAGGGUAAAACCGGUGACUGGGGCUAAGUCGUAACAAGGUAAC
RNAcentral lists this ribosomal RNA (168 nucleotides) under uncultured bacterium. RNAcentral's name for it is "partial 16S ribosomal RNA". It matches the Rfam family "Bacterial small subunit ribosomal RNA", at positions 1325 to 1500 of the family's 1533-position model. The record is from RNAcentral.